ACUUCUGGUCAUUUUAAAAUACAGAUGAUAAUCUGUCUGUUCCCUGUAUUCCAGUAGAAGUAAUAUCCAGGUUGAAUAGGUUUUGGCCUUUCUAGGGAGUUUUUCCUAUCCACCGUGCUUCUACACCUACAAUGCUUGCUGUUUGGGGUUUUAGGCUGGGUUUCUGUACAGCACUUUGAGAUAUCAGCUGAUGUACGAAGAGCUAUAUAAAUACAUUUGAUUUUGAAUAGAACAUCACUUUUUUUUUUACAUGGUCCGACAUCUCCAGAUUUAGCGACCAAUAGUUUUUACAACAACGUUGGAUGUUUCUAUUCUGGCCAGUCUGCAGUCAGUGUCACUCAUUAUUCUUCAUUUACAGUAUAAAUAUUACAUCUAUGCUUGCAUCGUCCUAUAAACUCAUAUGUAGGCUAAUAACUCGGCUCUCGCUCUCCCUCUCAUCGUAUUAAUUGUCGCGCGUGCUCCAGCAUAAUUCGAGGGACAAGACGACACGCUGUUGAAGGGAGAGAGGAGAUGCUGUUGAUUUGAACCUGCGCCGCCAGAACACGGGAUAAUACAUCGAGCUGAGGAUCUCUCCACCUGAACAAGGUGCUCCAGUAUUGAACAGCCACCUGCCGUUCUUUGACCACCCAUCACCAUCACCACCAUGUCAAAGGACCAGUGUGAAUCCGUAGCAGUGAGCGUCGAGUCCCUCUUAACCGACGCAGUUAAGAUGCAGUCCCAGUGUCGGGAGCGUAGUGAGCAGCUAGCUGUGGCCGCCGCCGCACUGCGGGAGGAGUCGGCGUGCUUGAGAGAACAGUGUCAAGCCACCCAGCUGGACAUGGCUCAGAUGAGAAGACAGCUAGAACAACUGCUGGACAGCAAGGCUCAGAUGGAGGCCAGUGAUCGAAUGCACCGCAAACUUAGCAAGACACUCUAAAGGGAACGGAGGGGAGAGAAGGAGAGUGAGAAAAUAAGAACGGCUGGAUAACAAAGCUCCGACAGACACCCGGGAAACUUAGCAGUUAAAAUGUAAAAAAUGUCUCCUGUUCUCUAACGCGAUCUAUCUUCUGUCCCUAAACAAUAGACUUUUAUUCUUCAUAAGCAGUUAUUAUGCUAGCUAUAUAGGCCCUCAAUUCUCUUCACGGAGAUUGAAUGUUUAUAGGUCUGAAUAAAUAACUGCUAUAGUC
This is a long non-coding RNA of Oncorhynchus keta (chum salmon), 1166 nucleotides long. RefSeq lists it as uncharacterized. NCBI's taxonomy places the organism in Eukaryota, Metazoa, Chordata, Actinopteri, Salmoniformes, Salmonidae. The record is from RefSeq and is a predicted model, not a curated record. The transcript is spliced from 3 exons.